This 198-nucleotide ribosomal RNA is filed under the name uncultured bacterium. Its description in RNAcentral is "partial 16S ribosomal RNA". It matches the Rfam family "Bacterial small subunit ribosomal RNA", at positions 328 to 539 of the family's 1533-position model. The record is from RNAcentral.
ACGCUCGACACCUACGGGAGGCAGCAGUGGGGAAUAUUGCACAAUGGGGGAAACCCUGAUGCAGCGACGCCGCGUGAAGGAUGAAGUAUUUCGGUAUGUAAACUUCUAUCAGCAGGGAAGAAAGUGACGGUACCUGACUAAGAAGCCCCGGCUAACUACGUGCCAGCAGCCACGGUAAUCUGAGCGGGCUGGCAAGGC